CAUGACUGUAGCUUGGAAUUGGGUUCGGGCUCUUCUUGCGCAGCCUAGGUGGGAGGCUAUGAAGAUUUCCUUCCGGGGAAGUUGGAGCCAUCAGUGAGAGACCACUCUGGAGAGGCUAGAAUCCUAAUGGUGAUCCUUGAAUCAGGACACUUGACAGUUUCAGGUGGGCAGUUUUUCUGGGGCGGGAGCCUCAUAAAGGGUAACUGAGGCGCGCAAAGGUCCCCUCAGUCUGGACGGAAAUCAGACAACGAGUGUAAAGGCAAAAGGGGGCUUGACUGCAAGACCUACAAGUCGAGCAGGAGCGAAAGCUGGCCUUAGUGAUCCGACGGUACCGUGUGGAAGGGCCGUCGCUCAACGAAUAAAAGUUA
RNAcentral lists this ribosomal RNA (368 nucleotides) under uncultured organism. Its description in RNAcentral is "bacterial LSU rRNA". It matches the Rfam family "Bacterial large subunit ribosomal RNA", at positions 2099 to 2465 of the family's 2925-position model. The record is from RNAcentral.